This 257-nucleotide ribosomal RNA is filed under the name uncultured prokaryote. Its description in RNAcentral is "partial 16S ribosomal RNA". It matches the Rfam family "Bacterial small subunit ribosomal RNA", at positions 521 to 777 of the family's 1533-position model. The record is from RNAcentral.
UAAGACGAAGGAUGCAAGCGUUAUCCGGAUUCAUUGGGUUUAAAGGGAGCGUAGGUGGCCUUGUAAGUCAGUGGUGAAAUCCUGUCGCUUAACGAUAGAAUUGCCAUUGAUACUGCAGGGCUUGAGUACAGUUGCCGUUGGCGGAAUAUGACAUGUAGUGGUGAAAUACAUAGAUAUGUCAUAGAACACCGAUUGCGAAGGCAGCUGACGAAACUGUAACUGACACUGAGGCUCGAAAGUGUGGGGAUCAAACAGGA